UUAGUACCCAGGUAAUCAAAAUUUAUUAAUUCGGGAGUAAAGUAUUGUUUAAACCGAAAAAAUAUUGACUGACUUUAGAUUUUUCUUUGGAAUAUGUGAUUUUGGAGAGCCCUCUUUUUUGGUAAAUUUUAUUGGCACAUGUAUGAUUGUUUAGUUUUCAUGUUUUUUGUGAUGCUUAAUUGUUUUUUGCAUUUAAAACA
This 200-nucleotide ribosomal RNA is filed under the name Dirofilaria repens. Its description in RNAcentral is "partial 12S ribosomal RNA". The record is from RNAcentral. Lineage: Eukaryota; Metazoa; Nematoda; Chromadorea; Rhabditida; Onchocercidae.